Molecule: ribosomal RNA, 247 nt
Filed under: uncultured bacterium
Lineage: Bacteria
Description: partial 16S ribosomal RNA
Rfam family: Bacterial small subunit ribosomal RNA
Source: RNAcentral
UACGUAGGGGGGCAAGCGUUGUCCGGAAUCAUUGGGCGUAAAGAGCGUGUAGGCGGCUUGGUAAGUCCGCUGUGAAAGUCCAGGGCUCAACCCUGGAAUGCCGGUGGAAACUGUCAAGCUUGAGUCCGGAAGAGGCGAGUGGAAUUCCUGGUGUAGCGGUGAAAUGCGCAGGAUAAUCAGGAGGAACACCAAUGGCGAAGGCAGCUCGCUGGGACGGUAGCUGACGCUGAGACGCGAAAGCGUGGGG